AGAGAGAUUUUCUUCUUGGAUUAAAUUCUUUUGGGCUUGAGAGCCAAGGGUUCUACAUCAAAGAAUCUUUAUUGUCCAUACGAUAAAAAUAUGCUGAAAAGCAGAACAAUGUUCUAAAUUAACCUUGAUGUGUGUUCUUUGGGUCGUAGAUGGGCCAGAUUAGAAUUAAGAAGCGAAAUUAUCACCAUAUUGUUCUUGGCUUCUAACUCUUUUGAUGAAAUAUCACUUUUCAUUUUUAAAAUCCUAUCAACAUGUCAUGCACAAGUUUGCAUGUUUCGACUACUGCUACAAUAAUGAUGCUGAGAAACU
This 309-nucleotide unclassified non-coding RNA is filed under the name Hevea brasiliensis (rubber tree). The record is from RNAcentral. Lineage: Eukaryota; Viridiplantae; Streptophyta; Magnoliopsida; Malpighiales; Euphorbiaceae.